GGCUCACCAAGCCGAUAAUCGAUAGGGGCCGUGAGAGCGGGAGCCCCGAGAUGGGUACUGAGACAACGACCCAGGCCUUACGAGGCGCAGCAGGCGCGAAACCUCCGCAAUACACGAAAGUGUGACGGGGUUACCCAAAGUGUUCAAUUAUGAACUGUGGUAGGUGAGUAAUGUUCCCUACUAGAAAGGAGAGGGCAAGGCUGGUGCCAGCCGCCGCGGUAAAACCAGCUCUUCAAGUGGUCGGGAUAAUUAUUGGGCUUAAAGUGUCCGUAGCCGGUUUAGUAAGUUCCUGGUAAAAUCGGGUAGCUUAACUAUCUGUAUGCUAGGAAUACUGCUAUACUAGAGGACGGGAGAGGUCUGAGGUACUACAGGGGUAGGGGUGAAAUCUUAUAAUCCUUGUAGGACCACCAGUGGCGAAGGCGUCAGACUGGAACGUGCCUGACGGUGAGGGACGAAAGCCAGGGGAGCGAACCGGAUUAGAUACCCGGGUAGUCCUGGCCGUAAACGAUGCAUACUAGGUGAUGGCAUGGCCAUGAGCCAUGUCAGUGCCGUAGGGAAACCGUUAAGUGUGCCGCCUGGGAAGUACGGUCGCAAGGCUAAAACUUAAAGGAAUUGGCGGGGGAGCACCACAAGGGGUGAAGCCUGCGGUUCAAUUGGACUCAACGCCGGGAAACUUACCAGGGGAGACAGCAGAAUGAUGGUCAGGUUGACGACCUUACCUGACAAGCUGAGAGGAGGUGCAUGGCCGUCGCCAGUUCGUGCUGUGAGGUAUCCUGUUAAGUCAGGCAACGAACGAGAUCCGCACCUUUAUUUGCCAGCAAGAAGUCACGACUUCGUUGGGAACACUAAAGGGACCGCCGUCGAUAAGACGGAGGAAGGAGCGGGCAAAGGCAGGUCAGUAUGCCCCGAAACCCCUGGGCUACACGCGGGCUGCAAUGGUAUGAACAAUGGGCUGUAACUCCGAAAGGAGAAACCAAUCCCGAAAUCAUAUCUCAGUGGGAAUUGUCGGCUGUAACCCGCCGACAUGAACGUGGAAUCCCUAGUAAUCGUGUGUCAUCAUCGCACGGUGAAUACGUCUCUGCUCCUUGCACACACCGCCCGUCGCUCCAUCCGAGUGUGCUAAAAAUGAGGU
RNAcentral lists this ribosomal RNA (1132 nucleotides) under marine sediment metagenome. RNAcentral describes it as "bacterial SSU rRNA". It matches the Rfam family "Archaeal small subunit ribosomal RNA", at positions 246 to 1383 of the family's 1478-position model. The record is from RNAcentral.